This is a long non-coding RNA of Tigriopus californicus, 1171 nucleotides long. RefSeq lists it as uncharacterized. NCBI's taxonomy places the organism in Eukaryota, Metazoa, Arthropoda, Copepoda, Harpacticoida, Harpacticidae. The record is from RefSeq and is a predicted model, not a curated record. The transcript has 4 exons.
UGUUGAGCUGAAACCGAGCCAAGCGUGAAUCCAAAAUGAGACUAGAAUAUAUUUGGCAUUAGCAUGAGAUAUCAAUCAAUCAUUCAGUUGGAAUGGAGGAGAGAUGCAUCGUGGCCUGGCUCGUCACAUCGGCCUUAUUUGCUUUCAUUGGAGCCAAAUUGCUUUCUUGCCUCCGUCUUCCGGUUGCCUUGGAAUGAAGAAGACUCAAGACGAAGUGGAAAGACACACCAAUGCCCUUCUCUCUCUCUCACUCUCUUAGCACUCAUUCAUUAACAUGAUCCAACAACGCCAAACAUUGUUCAAAAUAACAUCCUCGACCAGAUAACCGCGUUCAAUAGUCUGUUCUUGGCAACAAAAGUAACAGCAACCUCGUCAUCAACAUCCCACCAGCAUCAACCUAGAGUUGAAGACCAAAAAGUCUAUCCGGGAUACAUUUACGGUGGCCAAGACAGAUAAGCUCCCGAAGAAGCAAACAGCCAGUAGUGUUUAUGGGCAUGUAGACGACUAAAAAGGGAUUAGUCCAUCUUCAUUUUGACCUUGGCAUGAAAAGAGCGGCACACAAGAAACGAACCAACCCAUAAGCAAGCAACGACCGAAAAUGCGACGAUCAACUCCUUUUCCCAUUACCCAACCAAAGAGAUCUCAUUGUACGUACCUCGGCCUUGAGGUCCUUGGCACUUUCUAAUCCAUGUUUAUUGGUAUGAUAUGGUGUGGAGUCGGUGGAUCCAGGCACCUUCACCUCGAACGUCCAUGCAUUGAGCGUGACAAAUCCAGCAUUUCGACCCUCGGGAUUUGGGGACUCCAAUUUUAGACGAGAUCGUCCUGAAUGCACAAGAGAUCACCAGGGUUAAGGUUUCACAUCGUGGAAAGCAUGAGAUGUAACUUCGGGGUCGGAAAGUUGAUCUAUGGUAAUAUGAGCCUUUCCCAAUUGAGUGGCGGUUGAAGUGAACCGCUCCCGAAAAUCCAAGGCCGUGAUUCGAACCUCGGUCUUGUCCGAAAAGUGUUCACUAGCUCGAAAUUGGAUCGUUCUCAGACCUAUUAAUGCCCCUCCUGGAAGAGUACAAACCUCAGCAAUCUCGGUUUGAGCCACUCGCUUCCACAAGAUCUCUGGCGGAUUUCGAGUGUGGAUGACAAGCCUGGCGGAAGGGGCCCGACCGAGAGCAUCGCAGAG